UUGAACUUCUAAGCGAGAAUUGAAUGUGUGAAAUAUCACAAUUUAAAAAUAUUUGUAUUUCGCUUGAAAAUUAAAAUAACGGAAAGAACUAACGUAUACACAGAUAACAUGUUAUUACGUUUAGGUUUGAUAGUUAUAGGCCAAUUUUCUCUAAUACUGGAACCAACAGCAAUAAAUUGAUUUUGCUGAUCGCAAAUUCGUCCUAACACGCGUAGCGUUCUCUAUGAGACUAAGUAUUCCACGUUACCACGAUAAAUAAAAAAAUUCCGUUAUCAUCCAAUCGUAUGACUGACGCAAUUUUGCUGCGGAGCCAAUAAAUGCACGACUCUUAACUCGACGGCACUCGCCGUCCCGGAGAUCGUUCGGUUUUAUCGUAUUCUUAUUAGUUCCCCGUUUAACCGUUUCUCUCUUUAUGGCCACUUAUAAGUACCUAUAUAUAUAUAUAGGUAUUUAAAUUUAACAAAAGUUUACGAUACUCGUAUAUUAUUUACUUAUUACUACAAUAUAAAUCGUUUAUUAUAGUGUAUAAUAUACAUACACGCGCUAUUAUAAUACCAAAGCUGUAAAAUCAAAUAUUAUAAUAUUCAACUCGAAUUUGCGUUAAAUUAAUUUAUACACAUUGUCGUAAGAACGGUUUCUGAAGUGCAUUUUUGAUAAACAUUAUACAAAUACGAGUAACUACACUGUGUAUACAGGAUGAUACAAACUGUUUAUCCAUUGUGUCUGGUUUUU
Cinara cedri is the source of this 732-nucleotide non-coding RNA. Lineage: Eukaryota; Metazoa; Arthropoda; Insecta; Hemiptera; Aphididae. The record is from the annotation of a GenBank genome assembly.